CUUCGGCCCGGGACGGACCAUCGGCCGCCCUGUCGGGGGAGUCCGGACGCACAAAGUUUCCAAAAAGUUCUGCCAGUCGCUGCCGCACCCCACUCGGGGCAGAGCUUAACUUAGCAAAGCAUGGCUCUUCUUCCUGAAUGGACCCAAGCAGACUGUUGCUUGACUUAUUACUGAAGCUGCACAUCACCCAGAAGCAAGAAUUCAUCACUAAAGGGAGCGCCACAUACUUCAAGAAGUAGUUAAACCUGCCUUACCCUCCUCCAACCCUCCAGCACUUGUCAGGUGCUCUGCCUAGUGCCUAGCUCAGAGGAUGCUAAGUGGAGCAACACAAUGGACAGACUUAUUGACAGUAGCACAGUGUGAUGAGAAUGGUAAGAAGAAGAGAUAUUUAGGAAGACAGAUCUUCAAAUAUGUGGCGCUUUGGGAGUCAUGAUGAUGAGUGUGCAGUAUGUGAACCAGGAAUGGCUUCUUCAGUGUGUCCUUUAGCUCCCAGUGGCUGCCUCUCGCCCUAGAUUCCAAACUCGGUGUUACCAGUAUGCAGUCUCAUUGCUUCCUUAUGGCAGGACACAGAGUAAUUAAAUACAUGUUUUCAUAUUAUAUUUCCUUAUUAUAUUCUACUUUUUUUUUUACCACAGUGUACAUUAUUUUUAUCUUUACUAGAUCAAAAAAGUCAUACCUUCUUUAAAAAUAAAAUGUGAUGGUGAC
RNAcentral lists this long non-coding RNA (705 nucleotides) under Mus musculus (house mouse). Its description in RNAcentral is "predicted gene, 26854". Lineage: Eukaryota; Metazoa; Chordata; Mammalia; Rodentia; Muridae. The record is from RNAcentral.